RNAcentral lists this ribosomal RNA (407 nucleotides) under uncultured bacterium. RNAcentral's name for it is "partial 16S ribosomal RNA". It matches the Rfam family "Bacterial small subunit ribosomal RNA", at positions 30 to 526 of the family's 1533-position model. The record is from RNAcentral.
AUUGAACGCUGGCGGCAGGCCUAACACAUGCAAGUCGAACGGCGUGGCGGACGGGUGAGUAAUGUCUGGGACACUGCCUGAUGGAGGGGGAUAACUACUGGAAACGGUAGCUAAUACCGCAUACUAUCAGAUGAGCCUAGGUCGGAUUAGCUAGUUGGUGGGGUAGAGGCCGACCAAGGCGACGAUCCGUAACUGGUCUGAGAGGAGGAUCAGUCACACUGGAACUGAGACACGGUCCAGACUCCUACGGGAGGCAGCAGAGGGGAAUAUUGGACAAGUGGCGAAAGCCUGAUCCAGCCAUGCCGCGUGUGUGAAGAAGGUCUGCGGAUUGUAAAGCACUUUAAGUUGGGAGGCGUUACCAACAGAAUAAGCACCGGCUAACUUCGUGCCAGCAGCCGCGGUAAUAC